CAUGCCAUACGCGGGAGUCCGGACGCACCGGGCUGAGAGGGAGGCUGCGGCCUCCGACCGUACGAACCUGAUCCGGGUCAUUCCGGCGAAGGGAGAAGCAGUCUCCUCAUG
RNAcentral lists this non-coding RNA (111 nucleotides) under Streptomyces nanshensis. RNAcentral describes it as "TPP sequence". It matches the Rfam family "TPP riboswitch aptamer (THI element)". From Rfam's summary of the family: Vitamin B(1) in its active form thiamin pyrophosphate (TPP) is an essential coenzyme that is synthesised by coupling of pyrimidine and thiazole moieties in bacteria. The record is from RNAcentral. Lineage: Bacteria; Bacillati; Actinomycetota; Actinomycetes; Kitasatosporales; Streptomycetaceae.